GAUGAAGAACGCAGCGAAAUGCGAUAAGUAAUGUGAAUUGCAGAAUUCAGUGAAUCAUCGAAUCUUUGAACGCACAUUGCGCCCGCCUGUAUUCUGGCGGGCAUGCCUGUUCGAGCGUCAUUUCAACCAUCAAGCCCCAGGCUUGUGUUGGGGACCUGCGGCUGCCGCAGGCCCUGAAAACCAGUGGCGGGCUCGCUAGUCACACCGAGCGUAGUAGCAUACACAUCGCUCAGGGCGUGCUGCGGGUUCCGGCCGUUAAACCCCUUUUUUACCCAAGGUUGACCUCGGAUCAGGUAGGAAGACCCGCUGAACUUAAGCAUAUCAAUAAGCGGAGGA
This 336-nucleotide unclassified non-coding RNA is filed under the name soil metagenome. RNAcentral describes it as "partial contains 5.8S ribosomal RNA, internal transcribed spacer 2, and large subunit ribosomal RNA". The stretch from base 1 to 120 matches the Rfam family "5.8S ribosomal RNA", at positions 35 to 154 of the family's 154-position model. The record is from RNAcentral.